This 253-nucleotide ribosomal RNA is filed under the name uncultured bacterium. Its description in RNAcentral is "partial 16S ribosomal RNA". It matches the Rfam family "Bacterial small subunit ribosomal RNA", at positions 524 to 776 of the family's 1533-position model. The record is from RNAcentral.
UACGUAGGGCGCAAGCGUUGCCCGGAACUAUUGGGCGUAAAGAGCUCGUAGGCGGCUUGUCACGUCGGGUGUGAAAGCCCGGGGCUUAACCCCGGGUCUGCAUUCGAUACGGGCUAGCUAGAGUGUGGUAGGGGAGAUCGGAAUUCCUGGUGUAGCGGUGAAAUGCGCAGAUAUCAGGAGGAACACCGGUGGCGAAGGCGGAUCUCUGGGCCUUACCUGACGCUGAGGCGCGAAAGCUAGGGGAGCGAACAGG